This 620-nucleotide non-coding RNA is filed under the name Pan troglodytes (chimpanzee). Lineage: Eukaryota; Metazoa; Chordata; Mammalia; Primates; Hominidae. The record is from RNAcentral.
GGGAGCUUAGAUGUGGAAGCUCUUUGGAAACCAAGAAACACUCUGCAAAUGAAAAGGGUGGAAGAGUAAACUGUUCCUGUUUCUCCAUCUUGACAGGAAGCAGAAGUUCUCCUUAGCUGAUUUUUCUUCUUGCCUUAUACUGGGUUCUUUAACACCAGAACAAAAAUAAAUAAAUAAAAGAAUCUUCCAGAAAUUCAUGAAGAGACUUCAGGUCAGGAAAGCCUGAACUUUCUCAUCCAACACCUGUUCAAGUCGGAGGAUGCUGAUUAAUUCAUGAUGGAAAGGUAUCAAUUUCACAGCCCAGACCUCUACAUUCUUGAAAUGCUCUUCUCAUGGGAGACAUUAAAUAAGCUUUGAAUUAACUCUCUUCUUGGACUAAAAGGCCCUCAGCAUUCCUGUCAAUUUCUACACUCCUGAAGCUUCAUCUGGAGACCUCUGUGGAUUCUAUAACUCAAAGACCCAGGCUGACGGCUGGUGGAAUAGCUACCAUCUCAAACAUGGCGUGAUGCUGCAUCAGAGAGAAAAAUAAGCUCUUGCAUUGACAAUGAAAUGUCUACCCUGUAGUGACUUGUGCUUACUUCCACUCACAAGUGAUUGCCCAGAGCUACUUACCUGGCUCC